UUUAGUUACUUAAAGAAAUAAAUGUGUGUAUAUAUAAAAAACACUAAAAAAGUUGAAUGAGGUGAGCUUUUUUUAUCCCAUUCAUACUUCAUUGCUUUUGUAAGAUGUAACUUCUGGCCUUUAAAAAUUAAACCGUGAGGGUUAGGUUUUGUGGGGUUUCUUUUACAAAUGUUACAAGAGAUCACUGAUAUUGAACUACUUGUUACCAACUCUCACCUGCAACUAUUAAAAUGAUCCACUUCUACCUAAACCACUUUUAUCUAGAAACACCAGCCUUCCUAAACUUUGAAAAGUAGGGAGUGCCAGAUAAAUAGGACUGAGAUUCAACAGAGCCAUAAUUUACAAAAUCAAAGGCAAUCAGUUUAGCUUGUCUCUUGGCCAAUUAUUAGAAAUCUGGUAUUUUCAUGUUACAAAGACUUUACUGCGUUAAUGAAAUCUAAGAAGUGCCUUGUUUAUCACUCGACUUGAAAACUGAAAUACAAAAAUGUAAGUAUAGCACUUCUGUGAAUGCUUUACAUGAAAACAAAUAAAAGAUUUUUAAUUCCUGUGCAUGAGAGAACAGGGCAUGGGAAAGAAAGGAAGAAAUUCUAGCACCACAUAUAUUGGAGACAAAAAGGAAAGGUAAGUUGCUUCCAAAUCUGAGGGGAAGGUGUCUGUCCGUGGCCUUAAUUAGAUUUGGACAUCCUGAAAUCACUUAAUUUAUGAAAUUCCAGUGUGCAUUAAGAAUAAAACAUUGUAAUCUAAAUAUAUUGAACAUAAGACAGUGAUAAAACAGUUUGUGCUUUGCCACAUAUCACACAUUCAGCAGUGUUUGACCACUGGAUAUCCAUGGGGUU
Gavialis gangeticus (Gharial) is the source of this 836-nucleotide long non-coding RNA. RefSeq lists it as uncharacterized. The record is from RefSeq and is a predicted model, not a curated record. The transcript is spliced from 2 exons. NCBI's taxonomy places the organism in Eukaryota, Metazoa, Chordata, Crocodylia, Gavialidae.